ACGAGUAAGCUUGCUUCUCUGAUGUUAGCGGCGGACGGGUGAGUAACACGUGGAUAACCUACCUAUAAGACUGGGAUAACUUCGGGAAACCGGAGCUAAUACCGGAUAAUAUUUUGAACCGCAUGGUUCAAAAGUGAAAGACGGUCUUGCUGUCACUUAUAGAUGGAUCCGCGCUGCAUUAGCUAGUUGGUAAGGUAACGGCUUACCAAGGCAACGAUGCAUAGCCGACCUGAGAGGGUGAUCGGCCACACUGGAACUGAGACACGGUCCAGACUCCUACGGGAGGCAGCAGUAGGGAAUCUUCCGCAAUGGGCGAAAGCCUGACGGAGCAACGCCGCGUGAGUGAUGAAGGUCUUCGGAUCGUAAAACUCUGUUAUUAGGGAAGAACAUAUGUGUAAGUAACUGUGCACAUCUUGACGGUACCUAAUCAGAAAGCCACGGCUAACUACGUGCCAGCAGCCGCGGUAAUACGUAGGUGGCAAGCGUUAUCCGGAAUUAUUGGGCGUAAAGCGCGCGUAGGCGGUUUUUUAAGUCUGAUGUGAAAGCCCACGGCUCAACCGUGGAGGGUCAUUGGAAACUGGAAAACUUGAGUGCAGAAGAGGAAAGUGGAAUUCCAUGUGUAGCGGUGAAAUGCGCAGAGAUAUGGAGGAACACCAGUGGCGAAGGCGACUUUCUGGUCUGUAACUGACGCUGAUGUGCGAAAGCGUGGGGAUCAAACAGGAUUAGAUACCCUGGUAGUCCACGCCGUAAACGAUGAGUGCUAAGUGUUAGGGGGUUUCCGCCCCUUAGUGCUGCAGCCUAACGCAUUAAGCACUCCGCCUGGGGAGUACGACCGCAAGGUUGAAACUCA
This 850-nucleotide ribosomal RNA is filed under the name Staphylococcus aureus. Its description in RNAcentral is "bacterial SSU rRNA". It matches the Rfam family "Bacterial small subunit ribosomal RNA", at positions 70 to 903 of the family's 1533-position model. Lineage: Bacteria; Bacillati; Bacillota; Bacilli; Caryophanales; Staphylococcaceae. The record is from RNAcentral.